AUGGCGAUUUCUAGGUUUCUCAGAGUUCUUUCUGGAGAAAAUCUCAGCCUAGUGAUCUCUUUAGAAAGGAAAUGGGGUUGAUCCGAAGCUGGAGAGAAAAGUCAGUGUGGAUAUUAAAAUGAAAUGUCUGGAAGAAGUUCAGGUGGAUGAUUUGGAGAAUGAGGAAGAUACCGAGUUAAGUCUUGGGCAGGAAAGAGAUGAGAUUAAGCAGUAGCUUUUAGUAGAGUACCUGCUAAUCUUUGUACUAGAUGAAACCUUAAAGAGCAAAUGGAUGAAUGUUGCUCCACUCAGUUUAUAGAUGGAGAUGGUUCAUUUAAUGUCGAUGGACUUGCUAGAAUUUCCAAGGCAGUUAAGCUGGCUGAAUUUGGACUUUCUUAUGCCGUGGUUUCCAUGAUGGGUCCUCAAAGUAGUGGAAAGAGCACACCCUUGAACUAUCUUUUGUACCGAUUUUAGAGAGAUUGAGGC
Papaver somniferum (opium poppy) is the source of this 465-nucleotide long non-coding RNA. RefSeq lists it as uncharacterized. Lineage: Eukaryota; Viridiplantae; Streptophyta; Magnoliopsida; Ranunculales; Papaveraceae. The record is from RefSeq and is a predicted model, not a curated record. The transcript has 3 exons.